This 352-nucleotide ribosomal RNA is filed under the name uncultured bacterium. RNAcentral's name for it is "partial 16S ribosomal RNA". It matches the Rfam family "Bacterial small subunit ribosomal RNA", at positions 338 to 682 of the family's 1533-position model. The record is from RNAcentral.
CCUACGGGUGGCAGCAGUGAGGAAUGUUGGACAAUGGGCGCAAGCCUGAUCCAGCUAUUCCGCGUGUGGGAAGACGGCCUUCGGGUUGUAAACCACUUUUGUAGAGAACGAAAAGUCUAUUGAUAAUACCGAUAGAUGAUGACGGUACUCUAAGAAGAAGCACCGGCUAACUACGUGCCAGCAGCCGCGGUAAUACGUAGGGUGCGAGCGUUAAGCGGAAUUAAUGGGCGUAAAGGGUGUGCAGGCGGUUUUGCAAGAUGGAGGUGAAAGCCCCGGGCGUAACCUGGGAAAGCCAUCCCUGACUGCAAGACUAGAGUGCGUCAGAGGGGGGUGGACUUCCACGUGUAGCCGU